GAUCAUUCGUACACCGCCAUGUAUACGCACACUCGCACAUGAUUUGAUGAGACGACGUAUUUUUCUUUCAUCAUCCAAAUGGAGUUCGGAGAGGUCUUCUCCUAAGGCACGAGACCGCUCUCUCCUCCUCUCCCUCCGCGUCGUCUCCUCGCCGCCUGCCGGAAUUCCUCUCACUCCCCGAUCUCGGCGCUUCAUCCGCCGGAUAUACCUCUCGUUUUUUCUCCGCCUGCCAUGGCUUCUUGUCUUCUAAGCCUCUUUCAAACCAGAAGAUCGAGGAGUCUCAGCUUGCUACUAAGAAGGAGGAGGAUAAUGAGGAGGUGGUUCUUCCUAUCUUCUUCGAAACAGUUUGUUCCUUUUUGUUGUCCGAUUUUUUAGUAACAAGGGGGGAUUUCAGAGAUUUGGGAUGGGGUCAAAGCGUUGUAUGAAUGCUGGGUGUCGGCGAUGGAGCCGGUCGGCGAGGGGGAGUGAAGGGAUGGGGGUUGAAAUCGGGUGGAUUCACCAAUCUCUGCGACAACUUUGAGUAUGUAUGUGUGUAUGUAUAUUUAUAUAUCUUUUUCUUGGAUCCUUUGUGUUUAAUUUGUGCGCCUUGCUUGAUUGUAAUACUUUCUCUUUGUUUGUGUGAUUAUAGGCUUCGUCCUGAUGCUGUGAAGGUGUUCCUUUUGGCAGUGGAAUUCGGUUAUUAUCGGUUUUUGCUCUGUUUUUAAGGAGAUCAUGGAUUUGGUUUCUAAUUUGUAUGAGUUCUUGCUUCUGUGAUUCUCCUGCUUCUGAACUUAACUCUUAUUUUGAGGUUCUUCAUUUUUUCCUUUACUUAAAAGAAGUUGGUAUUUUUUGUGUAGGCAGAGAGUCCCUUUUUUUCUUUCUGCAUGCAUUUGUUGGUUAAGGGAGCAGAAGAGGAUCUCUUGAAGUUGGAAAGUGGGAUCAUUCACCAUACCUCAGGGGAUUGCACUGGUAGGCAUAAUGUUCCUCAUCUCUUUCUUUUCUAUUUCCUUUAUCGACAUAGCUUCAGUUAUCAAAAUGAUUUCCAUGAUUUUGUCUCACCAAGCUUGGGUCUGUUUAAUAUAAUGUACCAGUGAAACAUUAAACUGAGGUAUGCCUACUUCAUUUCAAUACAUAUACUAGUAUAACUGAAUGCACCCAAAGGAGCAACCAUCAUUACAGCACCCAGUUGAAGAGCCCAACAUGAAACAGAGUGUUAAACAAGUCGCUCAAAAUCUGAAAGCUUUCUUCGUUUGAGCUUGAUUGGGAGACCCUUGGAUGGAUAAGGCAGGGGUCGGCGUGUAAUCGUCUCAUCAGGAAACAGCUGAGACCACUCAAACUUUGUGACUAAAUGAUGCAUUACGGUAAGGACUUCAACUCUCGCAAAUUCGUUGCCUAUACACAUCCUGUAUCCUGCUCCAAAUGGGAUGUAAGCAAAUGGUGGAACUGGUUUUGAGGGACUUUCAAAACGGGAGGGAUCAAAAUUAGUAGGAUCCUCAAAGAUAUCUUUGUCCAUAUGGGUUCCACUGGUUUCCCAAAGCAGCUGCAGAAUAUAACAUCAAAAGCUCCAUUAGUUGGAUGGUAAGCUUGUUAUAUAUUUUGAUCAGAUAAGGAAAAUGAUGUGAUACCUGCCAUCCUUGAGGGAUGUCAUAGCCUCCAAAAUGGAGGUCUUUUACAGCUUUUCUCAAGCUACCGGACACUGGAGGGAUGAUUCUCAUCAGUUCUUGUGCAACUCUCCAUGUGUAUUUCAUUCUUUGUACUUCAUUCCAUGUAAGCUUCCCUUGCACAUCAUCCUGUCUGUCUCUUAAGAUCGCCAUUUGCUCUAGUGAAGAAGAAAAAUAGUAUUAUUUAAUAUGUGAGGGUUUGUCUUUUUAAGACAUACUGGAAUAAGAAAUUGAGUCAUGAUAUUUUGUUUCGAGAUGAUUAGGCUUAACGUCCAAAAGGAUUGAUCAGACAACCAACUGAUAGUUAAUUCGAUGCCAUGGAAUUACCUGCAAAGCUCAUAUUUCUUUUUUUCUUAACAAAAAUGAACACAAUUAGCCGAACAAUAUACUAAAUCUACAGAAUGAGAGAUCCAUGUGGCAGCAGAGAACAUUCUAUUACCUUCCGAGACCUUGCUAUAAAUCUCAGGAUCUCUAGCCAAUUUCCAGACCAUCAAACUCAAUAGAAUCGCCGUUGUAUCAUGACUAGCUAUUAUCAAUGCAACAAAAUUAUCUGUUACCGCCUCCUCAGUAAGUGGUUCAUUAUUCUCAUCUUUCAGUGAGAGUAUGGAAGAAAUUAUGUCAUCUUUGGCCUUCAAAAUACCCUCAGUGAGUAGCUCCUUUCGACUUUGCAAGAUGGGCAAUGCUCGCCGGUCGAUUCGAGAUCUUGCACGCAAUGCACGCCAGUACGCUGUUCCUGGGAGAUUAAUAGGAAUGGUAAAUAAGCCUGCCAAGACUUGGACGAAGUCCUCGAACAAGGCUUCAUUUGUGGGCUCGUGGUGCAAUCCAAAUAGUAGGCUGCAAGUUAUGUUAAACGUGAGCUUCUUCAUCAAAGGCACUGCCAGAAUGGUGUCUUUCCCUUCUGUUUUGGUGAGCAGUUGGUGUUUAACUAAAGCACCCAUAUGUCCAAUAUAGUCUUGAAGGCUUUCUGGUUUUAGGAAGUUCAUCAGCGCACCCUUGACUAGCCUAUACCUGUACAAAGAUUUUGUCAGUGGUAGAUAGCUUAAUUUGAAAUUUAAUUGUUAUAUAUUGAAAGUAAUGAUCUCUCUUAUUUUUUCAGCUGAUAACAUGCUUAAAUUUUUCAUUGCAUUCUAUUUGCCAGUUUUCCUUAUACUUCAUAGCUUUCUUCUCUUGUUUUGCUAGUCUUUGCAAACCAGUUGAAUACACACAACUAGUCCCCUAGCUAAAAAAACAAAAACACAAGCACAUACAUGGAGAAUGAAUCCCAUGAUCAUGUUUAAGACUAUUAUUUUUAUGUUACCUUGUGCCAGUGAGCUCAAACAAAUUGUGCCUUCCGGUGAGCCUUACGAUCGUCGGCGGCUGUUUCAUGCUGACAGCCUCGUCGUUGGCGGUGAACACAAACUUGUU
This 3044-nucleotide long non-coding RNA is filed under the name Elaeis guineensis (African oil palm). RNAcentral's name for it is "long non-coding RNA (EGUI_LNC013477)". Lineage: Eukaryota; Viridiplantae; Streptophyta; Magnoliopsida; Arecales; Arecaceae. The record is from RNAcentral.